AUUGAACGCUGGCGGCAGGCCUAACACAUGCAAGUCGAGCGGAUGAAGGGAGCUUGCUCCUGGAUUCAGCGGCGGACGGGUGAGUAAUGCCUAGGAAUCUGCCUGGUAGUGGGGGAUAACGUCCGGAAACGGGCGCUAAUACCGCAUACGUCCUGAGGGAGAAAGUGGGGGAUCUUCGGACCUCACGCUAUCAGAUGAGCCUAGGUCGGAUUAGCUAGUUGGUGGGGUAAAGGCCUACCAAGGCGACGAUCCGUAACUGGUCUGAGAGGAUGAUCAGUCACACUGGAACUGAGACACGGUCCAGACUCCUACGGGAGGCAGCAGUGGGGAAUAUUGGACAAUGGGCGAAAGCCUGAUCCAGCCAUGCCGCGUGUGUGAAGAAGGUCUUCGGAUUGUAAAGCACUUUAAGUUGGGAGGAAGGGCAGUAAGUUAAUACCUUGCUGUUUUGACGUUACCAACAGAAUAGGCACCGGCUAACUUCGU
RNAcentral lists this ribosomal RNA (483 nucleotides) under uncultured bacterium. RNAcentral's name for it is "partial 16S ribosomal RNA". It matches the Rfam family "Bacterial small subunit ribosomal RNA", at positions 30 to 506 of the family's 1533-position model. The record is from RNAcentral.